CCGUGAACCUUUACUAUAGCUUCACACUGGACGCUGAUGUUGCCUGUGUAGGAUAGCUGGGAGGCUUUGAAACCCGGACGCAGUUCGGGUGGAGCCAACCUUGAAAUACCAGCCUGGCAUCAUUGGCGUUCUCACUCAGGUCCGUGAUCCGGAUCGAGGACAGUGUGUGGUGGGUAGUUUGACUGGGGCGGUCUCCUCCCAAAGCGUAACGGAGGAGCACGAAGGUACCCUCAGCACGGUCGGACAUCGUGCAAUGAGUGCAAGAGCAUAAGGGUGCUUGACUGCGAGACAGACACGUCGAGCAGGUGCGAAAGCAGGUUCUAGUGAUCCGGUGGUUCUGUAUGGAAGGGCCAUCGCUCAACGGAUAAAAGGUACUCCGGGGAUAACAGGCUGAUACCGCCCAAGAGUUCACAUCGACGGCGGUGUUUGGCACCUCGAUGUCGGCUCAUCACAUCCUGGGGCUGAAGUCGGUCCCAAGGGGUAUGGCUGUUCGCCAUUAAAAGUGGUACGCGAGCUGGGUUUAGAAACGUCGUGAGACAGUUCGGUCCCUAUCUGCCGUGGGCGUUGGAU
This 570-nucleotide non-coding RNA is filed under the name Halomonas sp. SUBG004. RNAcentral's name for it is "bacterial LSU rRNA". It matches the Rfam family "Bacterial large subunit ribosomal RNA", at positions 2091 to 2659 of the family's 2925-position model. The record is from RNAcentral. Lineage: Bacteria; Pseudomonadati; Pseudomonadota; Gammaproteobacteria; Oceanospirillales; Halomonadaceae.